UACGUAGGGUGCAGGCGUUAAUCGGAAUUACUGGGCGUAAAGCGUGCGCAGGCGGUUUUGUAAGCCAGAUGUGAAAUCCCCGGGCUCAACCUGGGAAUGGCCGUUGAAACUGGCGAACUGGAGUGUGGCAGAGGGGGGUGGAAUUCCGCGUGUAGCAGUGAAAUGCGUAGAGAUGCGGAGGAACACCGAUGGCGAAGGCAGCCCCCUGGGCUGACACUGACGCUCAGGCACGAAAGCGUGGGGAGCAAACAGG
Molecule: ribosomal RNA, 253 nt
Filed under: uncultured bacterium
Lineage: Bacteria
Description: partial 16S ribosomal RNA
Rfam family: Bacterial small subunit ribosomal RNA
Source: RNAcentral